ACGGCUCAGUAACACGUGGCCAAACUACCCUCUGGAGCGCGACAACCUCGGGAAACUGAGGCUAAUCGUGCAUACCGCUCUCACGCUGGAAGUUGCGGAGAGCUCGAAACGCUCCGGCGCCAGAGGAUGUGGCUGCGGCCGAUUAGGUAGACGGUGGGGUAACGGCCCACCGUGCCAGUAAUCGGUACGGGUUGUGAGAGCAAGAGCCCGGAGACGGUAUCUGAGACAAGAUACCGGGCCCUACGGGGCGCAGCAGGCGCGAAACCUUUACACUGCACGCCAGUGCGAUAAGGGGACUCCAAGUGCGAGGGCAUAGAGCCCUCGCUUUUCUGUACCGUAAGGUGGUACAAGAAUAAGUGCUGGGCAAGACCGGUGCCAGCCGCCGCGGUAAUACCGGCAGCACGAGUGAUGGCCGCUCUUAUUGGGCCUAAAGCGUCCGUAGCUGGCCGCGCAAGUCCAUCGGGAAAUCCGCACGCCUAACGUGCGGGCGUCCGGUGGAAACUGCGUGGCUUGGGACCGGAAGAUCCAGAGGGUACGUCCGGGGUAGGAGUGAAAUCCUGUAAUCCUGGACGGACCACCGGUGGCGAAAGCGCUCUGGAAAGACGGAUCCGACGGUGAGGGACGAAAGCUCGGGUCACGAACCGGAUUAGAUACCCGGGUAGUCCGAGCUGUAAACGAUGUCUGCUAGGUGUGCCACAGGCUACGAGCCUGUGGUGUGCCGUAGGGAAGCCGUGAAGCAGACCGCCUGGGAAGUACGUCCGCAAGGAUGAAACUUAAAGGAAUUGGCGGGGGAGCACAAUCGA
This 803-nucleotide ribosomal RNA is filed under the name uncultured Natronococcus sp. RNAcentral describes it as "bacterial SSU rRNA". It matches the Rfam family "Archaeal small subunit ribosomal RNA", at positions 85 to 885 of the family's 1478-position model. Lineage: Archaea; Methanobacteriati; Methanobacteriota; Halobacteria; Halobacteriales; Natrialbaceae. The record is from RNAcentral.